RNAcentral lists this ribosomal RNA (123 nucleotides) under Rhizoctonia solani. Its description in RNAcentral is "5.8S ribosomal RNA". The record is from RNAcentral. Lineage: Eukaryota; Fungi; Basidiomycota; Agaricomycetes; Cantharellales; Ceratobasidiaceae.
AAACCUUUUGUUAACUCAAUUGGUUUUGCUUUGGUAUUGGAGGUCUAUUGCAGCUUCACACCUGCUCCUCUUUGUGCAUUAGCUGGAUCUCAGUGUUAUGCUUGGUUCCACUCAGCGUGAUAA